This 400-nucleotide unclassified non-coding RNA is filed under the name uncultured Ascomycota. RNAcentral's name for it is "sequence contains ITS1". The stretch from base 1 to 102 matches the Rfam family "5.8S ribosomal RNA", at positions 50 to 154 of the family's 154-position model. The record is from RNAcentral. Lineage: Eukaryota; Fungi; Ascomycota.
GAAAUGCGAUACGUAAUGCGAAUUGCAGAUCCAGUGAAUCAUCGAGUCUUUGAACGCAUAUUGCGCCCCCCGGAGUGCCGCAGCGCCGCUCAGGUAGGGUCCCCCUCGCCCACCCGCUCUCCCCUCCGCGCAAGCGCGAGGCGUCGGCGGGGGGAGGCGUCGGCAGCCCGUAAAACCCUGGCGUUGGGGCAUGCGGGGGCCAUUCUUCCGCAGCCCUCAAAUCCAGCGGCGGCCGCCCAGCGCGGGAGUCUCCAGGCGUAGUACCCACACCGGCUCGCCUCGGAAGCCCCGCCACGCGGCGGCCGGCCCCCCCCUCUUCGUCGUCGCCCCAAUCCUCGCGAAAGCCGCGGGAGGAGGGAAAAGACGCAACACACCCGGUUGGCCUCGGGUCGGACAAGGC